GGAGUGCAUCACAUCAAAGCUGGCCCGGCGAGGGCGAACCCCAUGAUGCAUCCUCUCUUCCCGCUGAUCACGGGCCAUUCAGUCGGAGCAAAAGCGGUGAUCCCGGUGGAGCGGAGAAGGCGAGAGGAAAACGAAUUGAAUUAACAUAAUCAACAACAGCUCGAGCCAGACACGCUUGCCAGUUGCAACAGCACCGCUGCCAGCGUCAGCCGAGGCGAUCGCAGUGGAGACCGGAGAGAAGAGUUGCGAGGGUGCCACUUUUCAUCGCACAGAGAUCUAUCCAAAUAAGGCCUGCAAGUUGGAUUAAAGUGACAACAGCAUUUUUCCAUCCUCUGAUUGAUUGAGCUAACUAUGUGCAUCAAAGUUGGAUUUAUGAGAAGCGUGAAUGUGGGAAAUGAAUUCAAAUUUAUUUUCCAGACGGACUUUUCUCGAAAAACUCGACCUUGGUGCGAGAGUAGGGUGACCAACAAUGUCAUUGGAUGGCUUGAAAGAAUUUAUUCAGCACUUUGAAAGCAACUUUUAUAGACCAGGUACUAAAUAGAGCAAAAUGUGAUGUAAAAAUGUGGAAAUCGGGUUCAUAUUGAUUUACAUUUUAGUGAAGGAAAAAAAUAAGAAUAAUAAUCCUGGCUCAUGGGUUUGUUUCCGCUUUGGUUUGUUGAUGGAUGG
Hippocampus zosterae (dwarf seahorse) is the source of this 666-nucleotide long non-coding RNA. RefSeq lists it as uncharacterized. Lineage: Eukaryota; Metazoa; Chordata; Actinopteri; Syngnathiformes; Syngnathidae. The record is from RefSeq and is a predicted model, not a curated record. The transcript is spliced from 3 exons.